This 513-nucleotide ribosomal RNA is filed under the name uncultured microorganism. RNAcentral describes it as "bacterial SSU rRNA". It matches the Rfam family "Bacterial small subunit ribosomal RNA", at positions 9 to 503 of the family's 1533-position model. The record is from RNAcentral.
GAGUUUGAUCGUGGCUCAGGAUGGACGCUGGCGGCGUGCCUAAUACAUGCAAGUCGAGCGAACGGACGAGAAGCUUGCUUCUCUGAUGUUAGCGGCGGACGGGUGAGUAACACGUGGAUAACCUACCUAUAAGACUGGGAUAACUUCGGGAAACCGGAGCUAAUACCGGAUGAUAUUUUGAACCGCAUGGUUCAAAAAGUGAAAGACGGUCUUGCUGUCACUUAUAGAUGGAUCCGCGCUGCAUUAGCUAGUUGGUAAGGUAACGGCUUACCAAGGCAACGAUGCAUAGCCGACCUGAGAGGGUGAUCGGCCACACUGGAACUGAGACACGGUCCAGACUCCUACGGGAGGCAGCAGUAGGGAAUCUUCCGCAAUGGGCGAAAGCCUGACGGAGCAACGCCGCGUGAGUGAUGAAGGUCUUCGGAUCGUAAAACUCUGUUAUUAGGGAAGAACAUAUGUGUAAGUAACUGUGCACAUCUUGACGGUACCUAAUCAGAAAGCCACGGCUAACUA